Molecule: ribosomal RNA, 465 nt
Filed under: Vreelandella stevensii
Lineage: Bacteria; Pseudomonadati; Pseudomonadota; Gammaproteobacteria; Oceanospirillales; Halomonadaceae
Description: partial 16S ribosomal RNA
Rfam family: Bacterial small subunit ribosomal RNA
Source: RNAcentral
CCUACGGGCGGCAGCAGUGGGGAAUAUUGGACAAUGGGGGGAACCCUGAUCCAGCCAUGCCGCGUGUGUGAAGAAGGCCCUCGGGUUGUAAAGCACUUUCAGUGAGGAAGAACGCCUGGUGGUUAAUACCCAUCAGGAAAGACAUCACUCACAGAAGAAGCACCGGCUAACUCCGUGCCAGCAGCCGCGGUAAUACGGAGGGUGCGAGCGUUAAUCGGAAUUAUUGGGCGUAAAGCGCGCGUAGGUGGCUUGAUAAGCCGGUUGUGAAAGCCCCGGGCUCAACCUGGGAACGGCAUCCGGAACUGUCAAGCUAGAGUGCAGGAGAGGAAGGUAGAAUUCCCGGUGUAGCGGUGAAAUGCGUAGAGAUCGGGAGGAAUACCAGUGGCGAAGGCGGCCUUCUGGACUGACACUGACACUGAGGUGCGAAAGCGUGGGUAGCAAACAGGAUUAGAUACCCUAGUAGUC